Molecule: ribosomal RNA, 1637 nt
Filed under: [Ruminococcus] torques ATCC 27756
Lineage: Bacteria; Bacillati; Bacillota; Clostridia; Lachnospirales; Lachnospiraceae
Description: bacterial LSU rRNA
Rfam family: Bacterial large subunit ribosomal RNA
Source: RNAcentral
AGCCAGUGGAUUUUUAAGAAGAGAGGAAUGGCGGGAAUGAAGUAGCGAGAAAAGAGGUGAGAAUCCUCUUGGCCGAAUAUCUAAGGUUUCAGGGUAAAGCUGAUCUGCCCUGGGUAAGUCGGGGCUAAGGCGAGGUCGAAAGACGUAGUCGAUGGAUAACAGGUUGAAAUUCCUGUACUAUCCUGUAACAGAACUGUGGGGACGCAGACAGAGAGCACAAGCCGGGAAUGGAAAGACCGGUGCAAGCGAGGUAGGAGUACAUCAGGCAAAUCCGGUGUGCAAUCCGAAGACGUGAUGCGGAUCGAAAAGAAGUAGAGAAGUGUGUGAGCUGGCUGCCAAGAAAAGCCGCUAUUGUUUACAGGAUACCCGUACCGUAAACCGACACAGGUGGAUGAGGAGAGAAUCCUAAGGCCGACGGGAGAAGCAUUGUUAAGGAACUCGGCAAAAUGACUCCGUAACUUCGGGAGAAGGAGUGCCAUGCGAAUGGCCGCAGAGAAUUGGCCCAAGCAACUGUUUAGCAAAAACACAGGUCUAUGCGAAACCGAAAGGUGAGGUAUAUGGGCUGACGCCUGCCCGGUGCUGGAAGGUUAAGGGGAGAGGUUAGCGCAAGCGAAGCUUUGAACUUAAGCCCCAGUAAACGGCGGCCGUAACUAUAACGGUCCUAAGGUAGCGAAAUUCCUUGUCGGGUAAGUUCCGACCCGCACGAAAGGCGUAAUGAUUUGGGCACUGUCUCAACAAUGCACCCGGUGAAAUUGAAAUACCAGUGAAGAUGCUGGUUACCUGCGCCAGGACGGAAAGACCCCAUGGAGCUUUACUCUAGCUUGAUACUGGGAUUCGAUAUUGCAUGUACAGGAUAGGUGGGAGACUAGGAAGUGGUGACGCCAGUUGCCAUGGAGUCAAUGUUGGGAUACCACCCUUGCAGUAUUGGGUUUCUAACCAGCAGCCGUGAUCCGGCUGGGGGACAAUGUCAGGUGGGGAGUUUGACUGGGGCGGUCGCCUCCGAAAGGGUAUCGGAGGCGCUCAAAGGUUCCCUCAGAAUGGUUGGAAACCAUUCGAAGAGUGCAAAGGCAGAAGGGAGCUUGACUGCGACACCGACGGGUGGAGCAGGUACGAAAGUAGGACUUAGUGAUCCGGUGGUAUAAAGUGGGAUUGCCAUCGCUCAACGGAUAAAAGCUACCCUGGGGAUAACAGGCUUAUCACUCCCAAGAGUUCACAUCGACGGAGUGGUUUGGCACCUCGAUGUCGGCUCAUCGCAUCCUGGGGCUGUAGUCGGUCCCAAGGGUUGGGCUGUUCGCCCAUUAAAGCGGUACGCGAGCUGGGUUCAGAACGUCGUGAGACAGUUCGGUCCCUAUCCGGCGUGGGCGUAGGAUAUUUGAGAGGAGCUGCCCUUAGUACGAGAGGACCGGGGUGGACUGGCCGCUGGUGUAUCUGUUGUAUUACCAAGUGCAUAGCAGAGUAGCCAAGCCGGGAAGGGAUAAACGCUGAAGGCAUCUAAGCGUGAAGCCCCCCUCAAGAUGAGAUAUCCCAUAACGUCAAGUUAGUAAGACCCCUUGAAGACGACGAGGUAGAUAGGGCAGAGGUGGAAGUGUGGCAACACAUGGAGCUGACUGUUACUAAUAGGUCGAGGGCAUAACCAA